AUGGCCGGAUGGCCGCGCCCCAGCUGGGUUUUCCCGGUGGGGUGAGGAAAGUCCGGGCUCCACGGAGGCACGGUGCCGGGUAACGCCCGGCGAGGGACGGAGGCAACUCCGGAACCUUAGGGAAAGCGCCACAGAGAGAAGACCGCCGGGGUUUCCCCGGCAAGGGUGAAAGGGUGGGGUAAGAGCCCACCGCGUCCCUGGUAACAGGGGCGGCACGGCAAACCCCACCGGGAGCAAGGUCAGAUAGGGAUGACAGGGCACCAGCUCUGGGCCGCCUCCGGUCCGUCAUCCGGGUAGACCGCACGAGGCCGCGGGUGACCGCGGUCCCAGAUGAAUGGCCAUCUCCGGUCCUGCCUUCGGGCGGGGCCGGGACAGAACCCGGCUUACAGGCCAUCCGCGCCU
This 402-nucleotide RNase P RNA is filed under the name Planctomycetales bacterium. RNAcentral describes it as "RNase P RNA component class A". It matches the Rfam family "Bacterial RNase P class A". From Rfam's summary of the family: Ribonuclease P (RNase P) is a ubiquitous endoribonuclease, found in archaea, bacteria and eukarya as well as chloroplasts and mitochondria. Lineage: Bacteria; Pseudomonadati; Planctomycetota; Planctomycetia; Planctomycetales. The record is from RNAcentral.